Molecule: long non-coding RNA, 315 nt
Filed under: Calidris pugnax (ruff)
Lineage: Eukaryota; Metazoa; Chordata; Aves; Charadriiformes; Scolopacidae
Description: lncRNA (ENSCPUG00000006837.1)
Source: RNAcentral
GUAAAGACACGUGUAUGUAUCUGAAGAUACAAGGAGAUCUGCCUCAACAGAGUCAGAGUUUUGUGCCUCUCUGCGUCCAUUUCUCUAGCAAGACACAUUUUCCCAAGGGGAAGAAGAGAAGAUAGCACCCUGAGGUGCUGAGUUGUCAUCUCAUGGGACUGGCAAGGAAACCAGGGCGAGUGACUCAGAGGACAAAGUGAUUUACACACUGAUAUGGAAGACUUUUGAGGAAGAACCAGAGGACGGCAAUUUCAACUAAAGGUCUGAUCCAAUGCCAUUCGGGUCAACAGGAAGAUAACCUUAUAUAAAUUCCCA